This 231-nucleotide ribosomal RNA is filed under the name uncultured Desulfobulbus sp. Its description in RNAcentral is "partial 16S ribosomal RNA". It matches the Rfam family "Bacterial small subunit ribosomal RNA", at positions 1152 to 1382 of the family's 1533-position model. The record is from RNAcentral. Lineage: Bacteria; Pseudomonadati; Thermodesulfobacteriota; Desulfobulbia; Desulfobulbales; Desulfobulbaceae.
CCGGUGUUAAACCGGAGGAAGGUGGGGAUGACGUCAAGUCCUCAUGGCCUUUAUGACCAGGGCUACACACGUACUACAAUGGCCGAUACAAAGGGCAGCGACACUGCGAGGUGAAGCCAAUCCCGUAAAAUCGGUCUCAGUCCGGAUUGGAGUCUGCAACUCGACUCCAUGAAGUUGGAAUCGCUAGUAAUCGUGGAUCAGCAUGCCACGGUGAAUACGUUCCCGGGCCUU